UCCAGGUACACAUGCAUACGGCGAACAUAACCUCCAUAUUUAUUAUUUAUGUUCAGUGUCGAUCAAAAAUUUCUCUGACUCAUAGUCAAUUAUAAUUUGGUAUUAUUAGUUUUUUUUUUAUUCCAAAACGUGUGAAAUAGAAAUUAUUCUGUAAAAAUAUAUUUUGAGGUAUAUAAAUGUUGGGUUUGAUAUAACAAAAAAGUGUGAUGCUUGUCCUUCGUGGAAUUCAAAAUACAAAUUCCUUUAUUUUAUUGGGUGGCCUUCUUCUAUGUCUUGUUUUAACAAUUCAAAUUAAACAAAUUUAUACCAAUAAUCAAAAGUAUAAUCGUUAUUUAGGAUACGAACAAUAUAUCAAUGAAAUAUCCCAAGAAUUGAAGACUGUUGAAAAAACUGCUAAUAAAUCAUCGAUAUAUGUUCAUCACUUAAAUGAAAUACUUUUUAAACAUCGUGAAAAAGAUAUGAAAAAUGCUUCACUGUCACGAAUAGCAAAAUUAAUGCGAGGGGAAACAAGCUGAAAUAGAUCUGAGAGAUGUAACAAAAUUUUUUAAUAUAUUUAUAUAUUUGUAAAUAUGUAUAUAUAUAAAUAUAAAAAGAGGAAAUAAACUUCCUAUCUUAUCAGAUUAUAUUAUUUAGGAUAUAACAAAAUUAAUGAGUAAAAAAAAGAUUAUAUCUCCUAAUCUAUAUUAUAUAAGGGCAUACACUGUGGAUUAUUUACAUGAUUACCAGUAUUUUGUAAGACUCCAUGUGGAACACAUAACCAUGGAUCAUUAGUAACUUUUUGCCAAUUGAAUAAUUGUUUUUGUAAAUCAAUCACUAUGUUCUGCAACAAAAUUUUCUCAGUUAACAUUUUUGUUUAAUAAUAUAGAUGGAUACUUUACUUUAUUUUACCUUCAUUGAUGGCUUUGAAAAUAUAUUGUUUCUCUCUUCAGGAUCAUAUUUUAAAUUAUAUAGUUCCCAUUCUGGUCUUUGAUAAUAUGACUUUAAUGUUUUAUACCAUGGAAGAGGUUGUUUAUUAUAUGUUCUGUUUAGGAGAUCCUUAUAUAAAAAAAAAAUAAAUUGCAUUAAUUAAAUAAUGAAAAUUAUAUUUCCAGUAGUCUAUGAUAAAUCUAUAACUUGUUAUAGAAAUUACCUCAAAGGUUGGAGAUACAUAUAAAUCCUGAUCGAUUGGGAAGGGCAUUUUAUAAUUCAAAUUAUGUAUUAAUUUAUAGCGUUUAGUUCUAAUUACACGCAUAGGAUAGUACAUAGUAACUUCAUGAUGAGUUUGACUAGCAAAAAUUGAUCUCUCUUCCUGUGGCUCUGUAUAUAUAUAUAUAAAUAUAUUUAUAAUAAAACUUAUAUAAUAUAUACCUUUUAUAUUUACCUUUAGUAAGGAGUGGAAGAAGAGAUCUGCCUGUAAGAUUUGGUAGAAAAACUUCAUUUUUAUUCAGUGCUUCAUUUUCAUAAGAUAUAUUAUACCAAUCUAACAAAGUAGGUACUACAUCCAGUAGGGAUGUCAUAGCAUAUGUUACUUGAUUUCUUCGUUCUUUAUGGAUUGGUGAUGAAAUCAUCAUAGGUUCUGCCAUACCUUAUAUCAGAUGGAAAAAUGAAUAAAAUGAAUUUUUUAAUUGA
Molecule: long non-coding RNA, 1608 nt
Organism: Vespula vulgaris
Lineage: Eukaryota; Metazoa; Arthropoda; Insecta; Hymenoptera; Vespidae
Exons: 3
Source: RefSeq, a predicted model, not a curated record